This is a long non-coding RNA of Hippocampus zosterae (dwarf seahorse), 411 nucleotides long. RefSeq lists it as uncharacterized. The transcript is spliced from 3 exons. The record is from RefSeq and is a predicted model, not a curated record. NCBI's taxonomy places the organism in Eukaryota, Metazoa, Chordata, Actinopteri, Syngnathiformes, Syngnathidae.
UCCCGCCCCUACAUCAGAACCGACUGUCUGACUCCGCAAUUGCAAACUAGUCGAAGUACAGUGAAAACCACCACGAGGGCACUGCGCAAAGAGACAUUGGCCAAUAAAAGCGGAUGUUUGAGGUUUUUAUUAACGUUGCCGUUUGAGGAAUUGAGGCAACAUCAGCCAUAUUGAUUGGUGGGCCGAAGACCACGCCAUGCAAACAUUUCCGCUUCUGGACCACAAGUUGAGGGCUUCUGCAUGUUUAUGAUCUAGUGGCCUCAGUCAUACUAGAUGGUGUUGUGUGGAUUCAUGCAGACUUUCAAUUUUCCAUCCAUGAGGUGCCAUUGCAACAGAAUGCUGAAGGAGUAAUUAUGGGUGAUGACUUGCAAAGGGGUACAACAAUAAAUGUUGAAAAUAAAGUUUAACACU